GAUGAACGCUGGCGGUAUGCUUUACNCAUGCAAGUCGUACGAGGGUUUUUAACUCUAGUGGCGGACGGGUGAGUAACACGUGAGAAUUUGCCCUUUAGGAGGGGGAUAACAAUUGGAAACGAAUGCUAAUACCCCAUAUGCUUUUGAGUGAAACGGAUUUAUCCGCCUAGAGAGAAGCUCGCGGCUGAUUAGCUUGUUGGUAAGGUAAGAGCUUACCAAGGCGACGAUCAGUAUCUGGUUUGAGAGGACGAUCAGACACACUGGAACUGAGACACGGUCCAGACUCCUACGGGAGGCAGCAGUGGGGAAUUUUCCGCAAUGGGCGAAAGCCUGACGGAGCAAUACCGCGUGAGGGAAGAAUGCCUAUGGGUUGUAAACCUCUUUUUUCAGGGUAGGAAGUAAAAUGACA
RNAcentral lists this ribosomal RNA (409 nucleotides) under uncultured bacterium. RNAcentral describes it as "bacterial SSU rRNA". It matches the Rfam family "Bacterial small subunit ribosomal RNA", at positions 28 to 474 of the family's 1533-position model. The record is from RNAcentral.